UUUAUGAGGAAUCAAAGAUGAACUUGGAGCAGGAGAGGCCUUUUGUCUGCAGUGCCCCAGGCUGCUCACAGCGUUUUCCAACAGAGGAUCAUCUGAUGAUUCACAGGCACAAACAUGAAAUGACUUUGAAGUUUCCUUCAAUAAAAACAGAUAAUAUGUUAUCAGAUCAGACCCCUACACCAACACGGUUUCUGAAGAACUGUGAGGAAGUCGGCCUCUUCAACGACAUCGACUGCUCCCUAGAGCACGAGUUCAGGAAGGCACAAGAAGAAGAGAACAACAAAAGGAAUAUAUCCAUGCAUAACACAGUUGGAGGAGCAAUGGCAGGACCUGGAUCCCACCAGCUGACAAACACAAGGAUGCCAAACCACGACACCAGCGUUGUGAUUCAGCAAGCCAUGCCAUCUCCACAGUCCAGUUCUGUCAUUACACAAGCACCUUCCACAAAUCGGCAGAUUGGGCCUGUCCCAGGUUCUCUGUCUUCACUACUGCACCUACACAACCGACAAAGACAGCCUAUGCCUGCCUCUAUGCCCGGCACCCUGCCCAACCCUACCAUGCCAGGAUCUUCUGCUGUACUCAUGCCUAUGGAGCGACAAAUGUCAAUGAAUUCCAACAUCAUGGGGAUGCAAGGGCCGAACCUCAAUAAUCCGUGUGCUUCACCUCAAGUUCCCCCAAUGCAUUCAGAAGCCAAAAUGAGAUUGAAGGCAGCACUGACUCAUCAUCCUGCUGCCAUGUCGAACGGGAAUAUGAACACCAUGGGCCACAUGAUGGAAAUGAUGAGCUCGCGACAGGACCAGACACCGCACCAUCAUAUGCACUCACAUCCUCAUCAGCACCAGACACUGCCACCUCAUCAUUCAUACCCACAUCAGCACCAGCAUCCGGCACACCAUCCUCAUCCUCAGCCUCAUCACCAGCAGAACCAUCCCCACCACCACUCCCACUCGCACCUUCACGCACACCCAGCACACCACCAGACCUCACCGCACCCCCCGCUGCACUCGGGCGGACAAGCACAGGUUUCGCCGGCGGCGCAGCAGAUGCAGCCCACGCAGACGGUACAGCCACCACAGCCGACUGGAGGUCGCCGGAGGAGGGUGGUGGACGAAGACCCAGAUGAGAGGAGGCGGAAAUUUCUGGAAAGGAACCGAGCCGCUGCCACGCGCUGCAGACAGAAGAGGAAGGUCUGGGUGAUGUCACUGGAAAAGAAAGCAGAAGAGCUCACCCAGACAAACAUGCAGCUUCAGAACGAGGUUUCCAUGCUGAAAAAUGAGGUAGCACAGCUGAAACAGUUAUUGUUAACACAUAAAGACUGUCCGAUAACAGCUAUGCAGAAAGAAUCACAAGGAUAUCUAAGUAAGUAGCUGGUAUGUUUGUGCUGUCUCCACACUCCUCACAGGAAAGCAAACCUUCCAAUUCUUCCCUCCAGAACCCCUUCUCGGUCAUAUUAUCACUUGAACCUGUCUUCUCAAACAUCAUCCGAGCCAUCCAAUCUCCUGCCCUUAUUUAUCCAGCCCCGCUCAAAACCAAAAAAGCCCCGGUUUGCAUCCCACCCAGCAGAGCUAGUCUUCCCCACCCCUCCUUUCGGCAAGGAGAUGCACACGGAUGGACGCUCACUCCCCUGUGGAGGAUCCUGCCUGAACUCACAGCUCCAAACCUGCAAGAGUCCUCCUGGGCACGGCGCUGCCAGAACCUUAAAAUAACUCUCAAAAGGAAAGUUAAAAAGGAAAACAUUACAGUCCCCUCCAGCGAAAAUGGUACUGUGCUCUGACAGUGGCACAGACCAGGCCUGGCGCAGGUUUUCAAGGUCCUGAGAGCAGCCCUCCUGCAAGCCCGGUCCCAGCUUGCUCCCAGCAGCAAGUCAUCCAGCACAACACCAUAACGACCUCCUCCUCCGUCAGUGACGUCGUGGGAAGCUCCACUCUCACCCAGCUCGCCAGCCACAGAACAGACAUCAACCCCAUCCUUUAAAAGUGGUUGAUCAGAAACUGCUGGGGGAGUGUGGUACCGUAUCAAAGCGUCCUCUCUGCUAAGGACAUUCGCAACCGUAACUCAAGCCUGGAAGAUUCCUCAGUUCUUGAAAGACUCUGGCUAUUCAUUUUUAUAGUUAUUAAAAUGUCUUUUAUACUUAGUUACAUAAAAGGGAGUUACGCAAUUAAUAUGCUAUCAGCUUGGGAAAUGCUUUGGUGCUUUCUCCAUUUUUUGGUACCAGUUACUUGUUUAUAAACCUAACUGUUUCUGUACAUAGUCAUGUUUCCUUCUCACCAGUCUAGCCUGCAGCCUCAGAAAUACGAAGUUGUGUUAAACUGCAGCUUGUUAGCCAAUGUGAGGCAUGAAAAGUAUUAAACAGAGUCAAACAUAGGUAACUAGGAGUAAUUAGGCUAUAAAUAUAGAGCGAGGGCAUCUGCUGACAGCAUAAUAAAAAAGAGUUAGCGUUGUGCUAUCAGCAGACCACGUCUUGCAUUCAGAGCCUCUUUCAGAGCAGUUAUAUAGGAUGUGGCUUCAGGACAAAAUCAAGCCCAAAUAGCGUGCUUUUUUGUCUAGCCCUCCCCCUUCUCCUCUCUCCCCUACCCUGGCCUUUUUCUCCUCCACUUAUUCUCACACCUUCCUUUUCCCUUCCCUUUUCAUUUCCCAGCUUUUUUUCCUUGCUUUUUUUUUUUUUUUUUUUUCAUUCCAAGGCUUUCUCACUUCCCUCUUUUUCUCAAAGAAUGGUAAUGAACAAGCAAAAACUUCAAGCCCACCUAAAAACUCUUGGCACGGCUGCUGCUUUCACUAGCUCUUCACCCGCAGUUGAGCUGCGCCAAGCAUUUGGCUUUUAAAAAAUACAAAUGCUCCUGAUUUAGUGUUUUUAAUAAAUAGGGAAAGGCGAAAACAGCACAGCCGCAGGUGAAGCAGGAUGGUGAGCCAGCUGUGUUGAUGCUAGCAGCCCUGUAAGCUUCUGUGGUGCAGUAGAGGCAUAGCGAGCAACACCUGAGAAUUACAGCAAUUUUUUGCACUGCCAGUCAUUAAUGUAGGAAAAUCCAUGUGUAUAUAAUAAUUUGGAAAAGUUCUGUUCCCUAACCUGGUUGUGUUGUUCUAGCAACGAAAACUAACAGCCUCAGGCUUCAUGGGCUAUAAAUGAGAAAUAAAUCAGUGUAAUGGUUCUGACCAGUUGGAAAAAUGCCAUUUUUAAUUCCCAGGGAAAGACCUUCUCUCUGCAGGCAUUCCUUUAAACGUUCACAAACUGAUCCCAAGCUGGCAGACAGCAGUGUAGCUUCACUGACUUUAAUGGCACUUAACACCCGUUUAGUGCGGGUAAGGAAUUGUUCUUUAGGACGCUAAAUAAUUUUUAGAAGGCACGCAGCAGCUAAAAAAUGCUGCAAGAAUGCCAAGUCCCACACUUGGGAUAAAAUACAGUCCUGCAGAGAGGGUCUGGAAAAGAGCCUUAUGCCACAAUUAAGGUUUUUGUUUGGACUCUGAGCCUGCCCCUCAGCACAACUGAUUUGCAUCCCCGAGUGGUCCCAGUGAUUGAUGGGAAAAUCAGACAGAGAUGAUGCCAGUUAAUUAUGCUGCCUUGCUGUAUAUUGGAACCUGAUUUUGCUCUCAAAUCCGUCAGUGGCAAAACCUCCUGCUGCUCGCCCAGGGAGCAGGCUCUGAGCUGGUGAAAAAAUGUUCAAACUUUUUGAGCUGCAUCUUUAAUAGUAAAAUUCACAUUAUUCCCAGCAAAUCCUCUAGCCCCAAACAUGCUUUGUUCUGAAGCAAAGCUCUCUUCCUCAAAGACUGUGCCUUUGGUCUUUGGAGGAAUCAUGGGUUUUAAAAGGGUGGGUCUUCUCCAUGUGGGAGGAAGAGUGAAACAACUGAAGUGUGAGGAGGCACUGUAAGGAGCAGGGCCGCUCUGGAAGGGAAAGCAAAUUUCUGAGCAUCACUCAUUGCUGAAUUAGUUCUUAUCUUGGUGACUAACUUUUUAUCAGUAUUCUUUUCUUUAACAGCUCACUUUCCAUUUAUGCAAAUACAUUCAAAAGAAGAAGAUUUUUAAUGUACAGUGUAAAUCUUGACUUAAUUAUAUAGUCUAAGAACCAAAAAAAAUUAUGAAAAAAUACAAAUGUAAAGGAUUUUCUAUUAUAUUUUAGACAAACAUAUACUUUUAAAGUGUUUUAAAUACUGAAUCUAUAAUUUUUUUUAAUCUCCAGUUGUAAUAGCUAAAUGGUUUUGCUUCAUCAUGGCUCCCAGGAGAACUUUUUUCAAAUAUUCAGUCGAGAAAAAUGUUCCAGCUGAGUAUCCACUGUAAAAAACCCAAAUAAGCAUUUCCCCUACAUCUGAAUUUCAUCAUUCACCAUCAAAAAAGGAAAUGCCAUUCCAGGGUUAAUUUAAAAAACUUUCCCUCUAUAUGGGUAGCACUUAAACACAUUAAAAAAUAAAAAUCAAAGUUGUUGGUAAUAUUAGAAUACCCAGUUGAGCUACACUGCACUAGAAUUACGGUUUAGCUUCAUUUUAUUCAUUCUCCUCAAUUAAAAUAUUUAGCUGUUAAAAUGAAUGCCUCUACAUUAAAAAGAAAAAAAAAAAAGGAAAAAAUACAAAAACCUUGCCUAAGUUUUGUUAAAUUCAGCAACUUGACAGUUUGACUGAUGUGUAUUAUAUAUAGCUCAAUUAUUUCUUUUUUUAAUGCUAACUAGGCAAGCCAACCACACAUGUUGGCCUAAAUGUGUAAUUACAAUGAAAUGUCUCCUCUCUAUACUAUUGGCCUUUAGGUAUAAUCCUUGCUAGUGAUGUGGAAAUAAGUAAAGGAUGAAAAGCUAUUUGCUAUUGCUUCUUGUAACUCUGUCGCAGGUUCACAGGCCAAGACAACAUGCAGCAUAUUUAUAUCGGCUGUAUCAUCGGGAAAAGGACCAACUGUACCAGGCACCUUAUAUUAUACAUCAAAUUUGCUUCCACAUUAAAAUGCUCUUGUUUUCUAGGGGAGUGAUCCUGCAGCCUUUCCUCAAGCUGCUGGUCUAACUGGGCACUGGAGACUGCCUGAGCAAGGGCUGCGGGAGAAGCCCCAGCCCUCUGUCUCCAGGAUGUCCUUCUGCCAUGUGGUCAGUGGCAGCCGCCUCUUCCUAAACACGUCACUCUAAAUGCACUUCCUGGGCUCUUUCCAUCAAGGAGGAAUCCUGCUUUUCCACAAGCUACUUCUGGAGACUACUCCACUUUCCUCUUUGCCCUGCCAAUCUAGCCUGUUGCUGGGCUCACCAGGCUCUGUGCCCCAUCCCACUGCCAGCCAAGGACAACUCAGACCACUUCCAUCAUCCACUCUCCAGGGCACUCGCAGGGUGGUGAGCCUUGGCCAGUGCCUUGUUCAGGAGGAGGUGUUACCCUACCAUAGACAGCAUCUCCUGGGUGUGACAUUGGAAGCAGGUUGGAAAUCUCAGCCACGGAGAACUCCAAUACUUUGAUCAGAAAGAAAUGAUGCUGCCUGUGAUCCAGCUCUGGCACCCCCAGCACCCCUUCCCCAAGUCAAUUUAUGCAAGCCAUAUUCAUAUAAUGCUGCCUGUGGGAGACAAGUAGUUUGUGUGCUAUCAUGGUGUGUUUUAUAAGGACAACGACGAUGAUGAUGAGGAUUUAUGGAGAAUUUCAUGCUGUUGGGAAUUAAUUCCUGCUAUGAAGCUAAAUGUCUGCUGCCCAUAUUCUGAAUAGUGGAAAGUCAAUGGUUCAGUGCCUCAGUGUGUGUGGAUUUAGUGUUAAUGACUCAAUCCUGUUAACUAACAAGCCAGCUAUAACCGUUGUUAAAUGCCCAACUUUUGAGGAUUCAUAUUUUUUUAAGCAACAAUAUUUAGUGUUGAAAAUUAGCCUUUUAGUUUAGGCAAAAUGUGCUUUUUAGCAGCUAAUACCUUUUUUAAAAAAAAAGCGUAUAGAGUGAAUUUAUGAAAAUUCAUGAGGACCAAAGCAAUUUUAAAACAGGAAUCUAUUAAUUUAGUAUUCACAUAGAAUUUUAUAAAGUAUUUAUUAAUAAAUGUUAUUUUAACACAUUCCAUUUGAACAGUAUUCUUGUACAGAAUCUGUUUGUUGUUUUUUUUUUAAAGUUACAAUAUUAGUUUUGCAAUAAACUACUCUAGGUGUGUGUGUGCAUCUUAAUCUUUCAGGGUCUCAAGCAGAAGUCAUCCAUCUAAGAUGGAAAAGUUUGCUGAGGUCAGUUGUACAGAAAUUCCUAGAAUUAAAUGUUUUCCUUAAAGCAGCAUCUGCUUUUUUUUCCUUUUUUUUUUUUUUUUUUUUGUAACAAUGAAACAAAUUAUAAACCUUCAGUUGUUUCCUUUGUAUUGCAAAAUGUGCUUUCUCCUUUUAGAAAGCAUGAGUCAACAUAUAACUGGAAAGCCUGUCUUUUUUUUUUCUGCUUUUUUUUUUAAGGCUGAUUUUAUACAUCACCACAGACGAUCUAACCCCAUCCUCAUUUUUUGUCUAGUAUCACAUAGUGAGUUGCACUAUACUGCCUUAUCAUUGCCUCUUCAGUCCUCUUACUAAGCAGUGUUCCUUAGAUUUAGACCAUUGAAGCUCCAUUAUACAUCAGAGAAAAUUACUGGAGGGGGAAGAAGAGAAAAAAAUUGAUCUGUAGACAUAAAACCUAAACUGUGCCUAUAAAACAAAACCAGUUACAACUAAUUAGUAUCUUAUUUCUACAUUUCAAUUAUUUAUAUUCUUUUAAAAUUGCACUUUAGCUCUUGCUCUCUUUCUUGCUCUCCCUUGUUGAAUCAUUUAUACUCUUGUAAAAGUUUUGCACCAGAUACAUUUAUAUGCUUUCACUGGUGGCAUAUCUACAACUUGUCUCUCACACCUGGCCGAGCGGAGAAGCUGAGACCAGCCAGUCUGCAGUGUGACUUAGACUUUACACCCUCUUCAUGACAGCAUAUAAAUGUUUUAUUAUGCAAUGUGUGUGAUGUGAGGCGGCAUCUAAGCUACAUUUAUAAUCUCUCAUCCCAAGAACCAAAGUGUCCUGUAUAUCGUAAGGUCAGGAGACUGGCUCUGUUGUGCAUUGUGAUGCACUUUGACUGUUGUCCAACUCACAGUAGCUGCAAAGCUGCGGUGGUAACAGUGGCCAUACUAUGUAUUAGAGUUCUGAAUCAAUAAAAUAUGUUGCCUUAUAACUUGACUAGGGACAGCACCUUUAAAAACAAAAAAAAAAAAAACAAAA
This is an RNA transcript of Parus major (Great Tit), 7144 nucleotides long. It is a transcript of the gene named cAMP responsive element binding protein 5, with no coding region annotated. The transcript has 10 exons. The record is from RefSeq and is a predicted model, not a curated record. Lineage: Eukaryota; Metazoa; Chordata; Aves; Passeriformes; Paridae.